GUGCCAGCCGCCGCGGUAAUACGAAGGGUGCAAGCGUUGUUCGGAUUUAUUGGGCGUAAAGCGCGCGCAGGCGGGUGGUCAAGUCAGAUGUGAAAUCUCGGAGCUCAACUCCGAAACUGCGUCUGAAACUGGCCACCUAGAGUCUCGGAGGGGGAUGGGGAAUUUCGCAUGUAGGGGUAAAAUCCGUAGAGAUGCGAAGGAACACCUGUGGGGAAGCCGCCAUCCUGGACGAGUACUGACGCUGAGGCGCGAAAGCGUGGGGAGCAAACAGGAUUAGAUACCCUGGUAGUCCACGCCGUAAACGAUGAGCACUAGUUGCUGGGGGAUUUUGACCCCCUCUGUGACGUAGCUAACGCAUUAAGUGCUCCGCCUGGGGAGUACGGUCGCAAGACUAAAACUCAAAGGAAUUGACGG
RNAcentral lists this ribosomal RNA (414 nucleotides) under uncultured Peredibacter sp. RNAcentral's name for it is "bacterial SSU rRNA". It matches the Rfam family "Bacterial small subunit ribosomal RNA", at positions 505 to 916 of the family's 1533-position model. The record is from RNAcentral. Lineage: Bacteria; Pseudomonadati; Bdellovibrionota; Bacteriovoracia; Bacteriovoracales; Bacteriovoracaceae.